This 543-nucleotide ribosomal RNA is filed under the name Triticum aestivum (bread wheat). RNAcentral describes it as "partial small subunit ribosomal RNA". The record is from RNAcentral. Lineage: Eukaryota; Viridiplantae; Streptophyta; Magnoliopsida; Poales; Poaceae.
AUGAGGCGCCUCGUGUUCGCGGAGCUCGUGGUCCUCCUCGCCGCGGCGCUCCUGCUCCCCGUCGUGAUCUGCUGCCGGCGCUCGAGCGGCGGCGCCACGCGGCCGCUGCCCGUCUCGGAGCAGCCCGGCGCCGGUGCCAACGCCAGCAGGAAGGAGCGCCGCGUCGAGCGGCUGCGGCGGGCGCUCCACGCCCUGCGCGUCUGGUGCCGCCGCUCCCGCGUCGAGCCGGCGGCCUCCGCGUCCGCGUCUCCGGACGACGGCGCGCAGGCGCAGGGGGAGGUUCAGCUGGAGCAGAUCGCCGCCCCGGCGGCGGCGGCGGAGCAGGCGGGGCACGAGGAGGAGGGUGUGGCGGCGUGGCGCGAGCGCUGGUUCGGCGGCCCCGGGUCGCGCGCGCUCUACACCAUCGAGGAGGCGUCGGAGACGGAGGGCGACGUGGAGAGCCAGUACGGCGCCGAGCCCGAGACGCCGUUCUACACGCCGCCGGCCUCGCCGCCGCACGAUGGAGAGCAAGCAGACCAGCCGGAGCACGGCGAGGCCAGUUAG